This 774-nucleotide ribosomal RNA is filed under the name uncultured Neocallimastigales. RNAcentral describes it as "partial large subunit ribosomal RNA". It matches the Rfam family "Eukaryotic large subunit ribosomal RNA", at positions 26 to 629 of the family's 3401-position model. The record is from RNAcentral. Lineage: Eukaryota; Fungi; Neocallimastigomycota; Neocallimastigomycetes; Neocallimastigales.
CGCAUCUGUGCAUGCAGCAUAUCAAUAGCGGAGGAAAAGAAACUAACAAGGAUUCCCUUAGUAACGGCGAGUGAAGCGGGAAGAGCUCAAAUUUGAAAUCUUCAAGGUUUUACCUUGACGAAUUGUAGUUUAAAGAAGUGUUUUCUGUUGAAGUUUUGGUAAAAGUUCUUUGGAAUAGGACAUCAUAGAGGGUGAGAAUCCCGUAUUUGACCAUUAUUUUCAGCUGUGUGAUACACUUUCAAAGAGUCGGAUUGUUUGGGAAUGCAGUCCAAAAUGGGUGGUAAAUUUCAUCUAAAGCUAAAUAUUGGCGAGAGACCGAUAGCGAACAAGUACCGUGAGGGAAAGAUGAAAAGAACUUUGAAAAGAGAGUUAAACAGUACGUGAAAUUGUCAAAAGGGAAGCGUUUGACACCAGUGUUGUUUUCUCGAAAAUCAAUUAAAAAGAGUUAGAUUUUGUUGUGUAUUGACCUUAACAGCUUGCAUUUCAAUUUUCUUGCUUUUUUUUAAUGCACUUUUCGUUUAACAAGUCAACAUCAGUUUCUUUUGUUGUAAAAAGGUCAUUGGAAGGUGGCUUUCUUUUCGGAGAAAGUGUUUAUAGCCUUUGACUCCUGCAAUCGGAGAGACUGAGGUCUGCAGCGUAGAUCCUUCGGGGUUAGAUACAUUUGUGCUAAGUUAUAGCUUUUUAUAGACAACUUGUUGACUAUGAUUAGUCUUGUAGCUUACUCGCUUAUGCUAUUUUACCUACGCUUAGGAUGUUGAUGUGAUACUGCGAGCA